RNAcentral lists this ribosomal RNA (441 nucleotides) under uncultured bacterium. RNAcentral's name for it is "partial 16S ribosomal RNA". It matches the Rfam family "Bacterial small subunit ribosomal RNA", at positions 338 to 795 of the family's 1533-position model. The record is from RNAcentral.
CCUACGGGUGGCAGCAGUGGGGAAUAUUGCACAAUGGGGGCAACCCUGAUGCAGCAACGCCGCGUGAGUGAGGAAGGCUUUCGGUUUGUAAAGUUCUAUCAGCAUGGAAUAGCAAAGAAGGUACCUGCUAGAGUAGGCCCCGGCAACCACGGUCCAGCCGCCCCGGUAAAUCGUAGGUGGCAAGCGUUGUUCGGAAUUACUGGGUGGAAAGGGGGCGUAGACGGAAAGGCAAGUCCGAAGGGAAAAUCCAAGGCUCAACCCUGGGACUGCGUUUGAAACUGUCAAACUAGAGUACGGGAAAGGUAAGAGGAAUUCCUAGUGUAGCGGUGAAAGGCGUAGAUAUUAGGAGGAACACCAGUGGCGAAGGCGUCUUACUGGACCAAAACUGACGGUGAGGCGCGAAAGCGUGGGGAGCAAACAGGAUUAGAUACCCGGGUAGUC